RNAcentral lists this microRNA precursor (96 nucleotides) under Anopheles gambiae (African malaria mosquito). Its description in RNAcentral is "microRNA aga-mir-286 precursor". Its record names the gene aga-mir-286. It matches the Rfam family "mir-286 microRNA precursor family". The record is from miRBase by way of RNAcentral. Lineage: Eukaryota; Metazoa; Arthropoda; Insecta; Diptera; Culicidae.
GUCAUAAUUUGGGGCGAUUGUCGGACUAGUCGCUGUCGCAGUCAUUCGGUUUCACCUUAGUGACUAGACCGAACACUCGCGUCCUAAACGAACGAC